UCUUUCCCAAGAGACACAUCAGGGUGGG
This 28-nucleotide non-coding RNA is filed under the name Rattus norvegicus (Norway rat). The record is from RNAcentral. Lineage: Eukaryota; Metazoa; Chordata; Mammalia; Rodentia; Muridae.